UUUCUGUCGUGGUCAUCCGGCUCCGCUUUACAGUGGAUACUUGGUUCGCCCUUGGCAUUUUUCCGGUAUCUUUCCCCACUUAAUUGUGUGGGUUUGAUUUCCGGAACAUUUACUUUGAGAAAAAUAGAGUCUUUCAAGCAGGCUUGUCGCCUUGAAUACUGCAGCAUGGAAUAAUAAGAUAGGACUUUAGUUCUAUUUUGUUGGUUUCUAGGACUGAAGUAAUGAUUAAUAGGGACAGUUGGGGGCAUUCGUAUUUAACUGUCAGAGGUGAAAUUCUUAGAUUUGUUAAAGACGAACUACUGCGAAAGCAUUUGCCAAGGAUGUUUUCAUUAAUCAAGAACGACAGUAGGGGGUUUGAAGACGAUUAGAUACCGUCGUAAUCUCUACCAUAAACUAUGCCGACUAGAGAUAGGGAAACGCCU
This 422-nucleotide ribosomal RNA is filed under the name Wenyonella philiplevinei. Its description in RNAcentral is "SSU rRNA". It matches the Rfam family "Eukaryotic small subunit ribosomal RNA", at positions 639 to 1065 of the family's 1831-position model. The record is from RNAcentral. Lineage: Eukaryota; Apicomplexa; Conoidasida; Eucoccidiorida; Eimeriidae.